GAGGGUAGGCCCCUCGGGAUCGGCUUUCAGGAGCGGGUCUCAAACCAGCCCAAGCUGGGUGUGGUAGAAGAGCCAUGGUGGUGAGCGUGGGGUCAAAAGCCGCGGACAUGAUCCGGGGCAGGU
RNAcentral lists this non-coding RNA (123 nucleotides) under Rhizobium sp. BK068. The record is from RNAcentral. RNAcentral also lists the same sequence under 1 other name. Lineage: Bacteria; Pseudomonadati; Pseudomonadota; Alphaproteobacteria; Hyphomicrobiales; Rhizobiaceae.